GAAAUUACUGUCUUUGCUAUUUUGCUAGAACACGUUUCCCUUGAUUGUUGUUCGCUGGAGACAGAUUCGCAGAUGUAACAAAGAAGGGCUGAAGAUAUGAAUGCAAAGAGUAUUUUUUGUGGUUUUUGCAUUUGCUUUUUUUCAAACUUUGGAGAAAAAGCCAGUAGAAACAUGACCCCCAGGAUCACAGAGCCACCCAAAAAUAUUAGUGUGCAGGUAGAACCAGACUCACAAAUAGAUCUACGGUGCUCUGCUGUGCAUGUAUUUAACACUUCUAAAGAAGGUACAAUUAUUUAUUGGUUGAUCAAUGAGCAGUUCCCAGACAUGUAUGAUAAUACCCUGGAAAGUAA
Molecule: long non-coding RNA, 350 nt
Organism: Pseudophryne corroboree (corroboree frog)
Lineage: Eukaryota; Metazoa; Chordata; Amphibia; Anura; Myobatrachidae
Exons: 4
Source: RefSeq, a predicted model, not a curated record